CCUGCACAUGGCCCCCAACAAUUUCCCACCUGGGCCCCGACAAUACCGGGAGAAGCGCCGCUACCUCUCUCGCUUGUUCCUCUCCGCUCGUUCCCCAUUUCUCCACCGUGAUUUCUCCUGGGUUUCGUCGGUGCAGAGUUCGUCGGCCGUUGAGCGCGCUAACCUCGUAGGCGGAGGGCGAGCGCGAGCAAGAGGGCGACUAGCUCGUCGGCAAACGGAGCCGCUCGGUAGUGCGGCGAGAUCCGAGUCGUCGAGCGAGCUGCGCGGCCGCGGCAACGGGAGCGAGGCAAGCGGAAUUGCGGCGAGAUCUGAGCGGGCCAGCGGGGAGCUUGUCAUGCGUGAGGGCGGCGAGUUAGUCGGGGGAGGGCGAGCAUUGGGAGCCAGGUCAGGGUGCUCGGGAGACGAGGAUGCGUGACGGAGAUGCCUAGGUCGAGUACCUGAGUGAUGGUAUGGAUGCUUGCUAUAGUUUUUUUUGGAGGUGGAAUAUGUCCUGGGAGUGGUGUGAUUAGAGACCUUAGCUUCACCGUCGCCGUGCGGGUGGAGAUCUUGGCACCGUUGCUCCAGGACAUUCCCCUUGACACGCACUCGCCGGUGGUUCGGUCCAGCGCGACCCUGCCCCGCAGUCAUCUGGGACAAGCAUGAGGAGCUGCCGCUGGUCUGGUUCUCCAGAUGCGCCGCGACCAACUGUUGUUGCUGCUGACCGACCCCUCGCCGUCGUGAGCUGGUGAGACAUCACUCCAUUUCUACUUUGCUAGUUUUGCACUCCUCUGUUAUGCGCGUGCGACCUCACCUGCUCUUCCCUUGUUGAUGCUUGCGUGUGAGGGUACAUGCUGCCCAAGGCCGCGGCGAUGGCAAAGAUGGUCCAGGAGGGCGCCCACUCUGAUUGCUUGCUCAACUUCGACGACGACGACCUGCAGGUUUUUCACUCAUAUCUACUUACAAUCGAUAUGGGCUAGUGCAACCUGCAUUUACCAGAGCGCGAAGAAGGCGGAGGGAGCCACCGUGCACCCCAACUACAAGUCAGUCAGCGGAUAGAACAGUUGGUCUGUAGAUUUGCCGACCAACUCUGAUGUGACAGCUUGAGUGCAAUACUGCGGUUCCAUGUCAUCGACAUCAUCAUCUUCAACAUUCGGUUCGCGACGGUGGUAGCAUUGUCAUGGAAGGAAAGUUGUGUCCAUGCCUCCCCAACAUCCACUAGACACCACUAAUGUACAAAGCAAACAGAAACUAUGGGAUACCCUAUCUGCAUCUACUAGUGUACUCGGCUCAAGAAAAGAUGCAUCGUUUUUUUGGUAUUUUGUUACUAGUGUACUGUUGAGUGUUGAUGCAUAGACAACUGGUACUCCCUCCAGGAUUCUCUGUGAAACCCACUUUUAUGUCUGAAUAAACUGCACUAUAUUUGUA
This is a long non-coding RNA of Lolium rigidum, 1404 nucleotides long. RefSeq lists it as uncharacterized. The transcript has 6 exons. The record is from RefSeq and is a predicted model, not a curated record. Lineage: Eukaryota; Viridiplantae; Streptophyta; Magnoliopsida; Poales; Poaceae.